GACGAACGCUGGCGGCGUGCUUAACACAUGCAAGUCGAACGCUGAAGCUCAGCUUUUGUUGGGUGGAUGAGUGGCGAACGGGUGAGUAACACGUGAGUAACCUGCCCCCUUCUUUGGGAUAACGGCCGGAAACGGGUGCUAAUACUGGAUAUUCACUGGUCUUCGCAUGGGGGUUGGUGGAAAGGGUUUUUCUGGUGGGGGAUGGGCUCGCGGCCUGUCAGCUUGUUGGUGGGGUGAUGGCCUACCAAGGCUUUGACGGGUAGCCGGCCUGAGAGGGUGACCGGUCACAUUGGGACUGAGAUACGGCCCAGACUCCUACGGGAGGCAGCAGUGGGGAAUAUUGCACAAUGGGCGCAAGCCUGAUGCAGCGACGCCGCGUGAGGGAUGGAGGCCUUCGGGUUGUGAACCUCUUUCGCUCAUGGUCAAGCCGCAACAAUGGUUGUGGUGAGGGUAGUGGGUAGAGAAGCGCCGGCUAACUACGUG
This 483-nucleotide ribosomal RNA is filed under the name uncultured bacterium. RNAcentral describes it as "partial 16S ribosomal RNA". It matches the Rfam family "Bacterial small subunit ribosomal RNA", at positions 28 to 507 of the family's 1533-position model. The record is from RNAcentral.